UGUGUGUGUGUGUGUGCACGCGCGCGCGUGAGCAUCACAGUCCUUGGUUUUUUGAUGACCUCUCAUGUUUCUCCAAUUGCGCUGUAUCAGCCCCUGCAGAAACCUGUUCGCAUCUCCUCCGGGGGUCACAUGGGUGGAUCCUACCCCAAGCCCAGUCCUAGCUUUCCAAAUGAAGACUCAAGUGAGCAGCAUAUCAGCAGAUUAAAUUUGUCUUCUUUUUCUUUCUCAACAAGGGCCAGGUGAUGAGUGGUUUUGUUCUGGAUCCCCGUGUGGCCCAUGAGCUCUGCCCAGUGCCCGUCCUCAGCUAGCAGCAUCCUUCCCGGCCUUGGGGAGUCACUUCUCUAACCUUGUCUUUGUUCACAGCCGCCUUCUCGAGCUCCUGUGAAAGCUGCGGCUCCUACUUCCCCUGACUGCGGAGCAUGCAUGCCGGUCGCUGCCACCCUCCACGCCCAGGCUCUGCACCUUCCCUCUGCUGUCCGUGGUGCUCGAAUGGCGAGAAAGGGAGGUCACCGGGCCUCGAUGCCGUGGCAAAGGUAGUCGGCAAAGCAGAACUCAAACAGAAGAAUCGAUAACGAAACGUACCCAGGCUCGUGUUUCCAUCCUUGCCGUGGCUACUAGAAAGCUUGCUACACUUCAGCUCAGUAAUUGUAUCAUCUUCUCUUCCUCCUCCUUCCACUUGAGGUUUUCAAUUUUCGAUUCCCAUUUUUAGCAACCUUGUUGUACGCACGUCUUUUGUCGGAUGCUGCCUCAAAUCCUUCUGAGGAGCUGACGGGGUAUAAAUUAUAAAUAAAAAUAAAUCCCGCUG
Long non-coding RNA from Suricata suricatta (meerkat), 805 nucleotides. RefSeq lists it as uncharacterized. The record is from RefSeq and is a predicted model, not a curated record. The transcript is spliced from 4 exons. Lineage: Eukaryota; Metazoa; Chordata; Mammalia; Carnivora; Herpestidae.